Pan troglodytes (chimpanzee) is the source of this 1607-nucleotide long non-coding RNA. RefSeq lists it as uncharacterized. Lineage: Eukaryota; Metazoa; Chordata; Mammalia; Primates; Hominidae. The record is from RefSeq and is a predicted model, not a curated record. The transcript has 2 exons.
AACUUAAAGAAAAACAAACUAACAAAAAUGCACUAAGGCUGAGGGGGAGUGGGGGUAAGGGCAGGAGUCACGCUCGGGUGGGUGCGUCCUGGAGUUUUAUCCAAUCAUUGACACUGAUGUGGGAACCGCCCAAUCAGGCGCGCGGUGGCAGAGGAGAGGAAAGGAGGGCGUGGCUUCCUGCAUUUGGCGGGGUCUUUGUCUCUCGCUGGCGCUGGCACAGGAACUUGGGAUCUGUCUCCUCUUUCGCCUCCUGCACCUUGGGAGCCCCGGGCUACUCUCUCACAGCCCUUGUUGCCCUGUGAUCUGAAGGUCCUUGGGGACGCAUAGUUAAGGUGCCAGGACAUCCUGGAAGCUGGGAAAUGAUUGUUGCAGUGUCAGGACCAAGGUCAAAUGAGUUAUAGCCAAGUCUACAGUAAGAUGUGGCAGUAUUCUGUUUUGAAGCCGGGACCACGAUUGGCAAGCUUGCCACUUGGUAAAGUGCUCACCCUCUGAAGAUGUCUUCCUUGGUCUUUGCCUCCAGCUGGGUGUCACAAACUCUGAACUGGAUUCCAAGGCUUUCAUGAAUGCACUUAUGUUUGCUGUGGCAGCUGCAUUAUGUCGUGGGGGAUGUGGAUGCAGAACCUCACAUUCUGUCGUCUUGCUUAUGUUACUCUCCUUUAUGUUUCACUUUCUCAAAUGAAUGUCAAGCAGGUGAUUUUCAGAUUCAAAAGUUCUAAAAUAAAUUGCUCAAAUUUACACAUUAUGUAAGCUGUUAAUAAAAUUUCUUGUAGGUGCUACAUAUUUAUUAAAAUUUUUGGUUGUAAUUUUAAGCUCACUGUAGGCAGAAAGGAAUCAUUAAGAUUUCUAUUCUUUUUUAGUCUGUAUCUAAAUGACCGUAUAUUUUAAUUCCAAGUAUUUACUUUAUACUUCAGUAAUGCUCAUUGUAUUUUGCAAAAUUUAUAUUGUUCUUUUAUUUGAAAAUAUAAGGCUUUUUUUAAGCUCCUGAAAGCUAUAUUAUAGUCAUAUAGUUUUAUUAUAGUAUUUGAUAAGAAGAGCAGCAACAUAUUGAGAACAGAAUAAAAUUCUGCUGUCUUUUUAAUGAUUAUUUAUUAAAUUCUUCUCAUUAGAGCCUAUUAUUAAUGAUUGUAAUGUAUUUUCUGUAUAAUUUUACUGCUAUUUAUUAAAUGCCAAUGACUUCCAAUGUCUGCUUUUCAUGACUGCACACAGUUUAAAGCUGUAGAUAUCUAAAGGGUUAUUUUUCAGCCCGGCACGGUGGCUCAUGCCUGUAAUCCCAGCACUUUGGGAGGCCAAGGUGGGUGGAUCACGAGGUCAGGAGAUCAAGACCAUCCUGGCUAACACGGUGAAACCCCGUCUCUACUAAAUAUAGAAAAAAUUAGCCGGGCAUAGUGGCGGGUGCCUGUAUUCCCAGCUACUCGAGAGGCUGAGGCAGGAGAAUGGCGUGUACCCAGUGGGCGGAGCUUGCAGUGAGCCGAGAUGGCACCACUGCACUCCAGCCUGGGCGACAGGGUGAGACUCUGUCACAAAAAAAAAAAAAGGGCUUAUUUUUCAUUGUAUAUUUAUGUUGUAUUCAGGAUUUUAUGCAUUAAAAUCUCUCUUUUUAUUUUCAA